GACGAACGCUGGCGGCGUGCUUAACACAUGCAAGUCGAACGGAAAGGCCCUGCUUUUGUGGGGUGCUCGAGUGGCGAACGGGUGAGUAACACGUGAGUAACCUGCCCUUGACUUUGGGAUAACUUCAGGAAACUGGGGCUAAUACCGGAUAGGAGCUCCUGCUGCAUGGUGGGGGUUGGAAAGUUUCGGCGGUUGGGGAUGGACUCGCGGCUUAUCAGCUUGUUGGUGGGGUAGUGGCUUACCAAGGCUUUGACGGGUAGCCGGCCUGAGAGGGUGACCGGCAAAAUUGGGACUGAGAUACGGCCCAGACUCCUACGGGAGGCAGCAGUGGGGAAUAUUGCACAAUGGGCGGAAGCCUGAUGAAGCAACGCCGCGUGCGGGAUGACGGCCUUCGGGUUGUAAACCGCUUUCGCCUGUGACGAAGCGUGAGUGACGGUAAUGGGUAAAGAAGCACCGGCUAACUACGUG
Molecule: ribosomal RNA, 468 nt
Filed under: uncultured bacterium
Lineage: Bacteria
Description: partial 16S ribosomal RNA
Rfam family: Bacterial small subunit ribosomal RNA
Source: RNAcentral